UCUAGAGGCUUCGGCAAUGGGGGAAACCCUGACCGAGCGACGCCGCGUGGGGGAUGAAGCACCUCGGUGUGUAAACCCCUGUCAGUUGGGCUGAAGGCCCCGAUGGUGAAUCGGGGAUUGACCAACCCAGCAGAGGAAGCCCCGGCUAACUCCGUGCCAGCAGCCGCGGUAAUACGGAGGGGGCAAGCGUUAUUCGGAUUCAUUGGGCGUAAAGCGCGCGUAGGCGGAUCGGCAAGUCAGGUGUGAAAGCUCCCUGCUCACCAGGGAGAGGCCAUCUGAAACUGCCGGUCUUGAGGUCCGGAGAGGCAAUCGGAAUUCCCGGUGUAGCGGUGGAAUGCGUAGAUAUCGGGAAGAACACCAGUGGCGAAGGCGGAUUGCUGGACGGCACCUGACGCUGAGGCGCGAAAGUGUGGGGAGCGAACGGGAUUAGAUACCCCGGUAGUCCACACCGUAAACGUUGGGCACUAGGUGUUGCGGGUAUCGACCCCUGCAGUGCCGCAGUCAACG
RNAcentral lists this ribosomal RNA (507 nucleotides) under uncultured bacterium. Its description in RNAcentral is "bacterial SSU rRNA". It matches the Rfam family "Bacterial small subunit ribosomal RNA", at positions 355 to 857 of the family's 1533-position model. The record is from RNAcentral.